Molecule: ribosomal RNA, 253 nt
Filed under: uncultured prokaryote
Description: partial 16S ribosomal RNA
Rfam family: Bacterial small subunit ribosomal RNA
Source: RNAcentral
UACGGAGGAUGCAAGCGUUAUCCGGAUUUAUUAGGUUUAAAGGGUGCGUAGGCGGACUGAUAAGUCAGUGGUGAAAGUCUGUAGCUUAACUACAGAAUUGCCAUUGAUACUGUUAGUCUUGAGUUCGGUUGAGGUAUGCGGAAUGUGUAAUGUAGCGGUGAAAUGCAUAGAUAUUACACAGAACACCGAUUGCGAAGGCAGCAUACUAAGCCGUUACUGACGCUGAUGCACGAAAGCGUGGGGAGCGAACAGG